This 1016-nucleotide ribosomal RNA is filed under the name uncultured Actinomycetales bacterium. RNAcentral describes it as "bacterial SSU rRNA". It matches the Rfam family "Bacterial small subunit ribosomal RNA", at positions 57 to 1084 of the family's 1533-position model. Lineage: Bacteria; Bacillati; Actinomycetota; Actinomycetes; Actinomycetales. The record is from RNAcentral.
GCAAGUCGAACGAUGAAGCUGGAGCUUGCUCCGGUGGAUUAGUGGCGAACGGGUGAGUAACACGUGAGCAAUCUGCCCUUGACUCUGGGAUAACUGCGGGAAACUGUAGCUAAUACCGGAUACGAGACUUGGAGGCAUCUCCAGGUCUGGAAAGAAUUUCGGUCAAGGAUGAGCUCGCGGCCUAUCAGCUAGUUGGUGAGGUAAUGGCUCACCAAGGCGACGACGGGUAGCCGGCCUGAGAGGGUGACCGGCCACACUGGGACUGAGACACGGCCCAGACUCCUACGGGAGGCAGCAGUGGGGAAUAUUGCACAAUGGGCGAAAGCCUGAUGCAGCAACGCCGCGUGAGGGAUGAAGGCCUUCGGGUUGUAAACCUCUUUUAGCAGGGAAGAAGCGAAAGUGACGGUACCUGCAGAAAAAGCACCGGCUAACUACGUGCCAGCAGCCGCGGUAAUACGUAGGGUGCAAGCGUUGUCCGGAAUUAUUGGGCGUAAAGAGCUCGUAGGCGGUUUGUCGCGUCUGCUGUGAAAAUCCGAGGCUCAACCUCGGACUUGCAGUGGGUACGGGCAGACUAGAGUGCAGUAGGGGAGAAGGGAAUUCCUGGUGUAGCGGUGGAAUGCGCAGGUAUCAGGAGGAACACCGAUGGCGAAGGCACUUCUCCGGGCUGUAACUGACGCUGAGGAGCGAAAGCGUGGGGAGCGAACAGGAUUAGAUACCCUGGUAGUCCACGCCGUAAACGUUGGGCGCUAGAUGUGGGCCACAUUCCACGUGGUCCGUGUCGCAGCUAACGCAUUAAGCGCCCCGCCUGGGGAGUACGGCCGCAAGGCUAAAACUCAAAGGAAUUGACGGGGGCCCGCACAAGCGGCGGAGCAUGCGGAUUAAUUCGAUGCAACGCGAAGAACCUUACCAAGGCUUGACAUAUAGAGGAAACGUUCAGAAAUGGUCGCCCUCAGCAUGGUCUCUAUACAGGUGGUGCAUGGUUGUCGUCAGCUCGUGUCGUGAGAUGUUGGGGUAAG